RNAcentral lists this ribosomal RNA (377 nucleotides) under uncultured bacterium. Its description in RNAcentral is "bacterial SSU rRNA". It matches the Rfam family "Bacterial small subunit ribosomal RNA", at positions 521 to 895 of the family's 1533-position model. The record is from RNAcentral.
UAAUACGAAGGGGGCUAGCGUUGUUCGGAAUCACUGGGCGUAAAGCGUGCGCAGGCGGAUUGAUAAGUCAGGGGUGAAAUCCCGGGGCUCAACCUCGGAAUUGCCUUUGAUACUGUCUGUCUUCGAGUUCGGGAGAGGUUGGCGGAAUUCCUAGUGUAGAGGUGAAAUUCGUAGAUAUUAGGAAGAACACCAGUGGCGAAGGCGGCCAACUGGCCCGAUACUGACGCUCAUGCACGAAAGCGUGGGGAGCAAACAGGAUUAGAUACCCUGGUAGUCCUAGCCCUAAACGAUGGAUGCUUGGUGUGUCGGGUACCCAAUCCCGCCGUGCCGAAGCUAACGCGAUAAGCAUCCCGCCUGGGGAGUACGGUCGCAAGGCU